This 544-nucleotide ribosomal RNA is filed under the name uncultured bacterium. Its description in RNAcentral is "partial 16S ribosomal RNA". The record is from RNAcentral.
GGAGUUAGCCGGUGCUUCUUCUGUGAGUGAUGUCCUUCCUGCCGGCUAUUAACCCGCAGGCCUUCUUCCUCACUGAAAGUGCUUUACAACCCGAAGGCCUUCUUCACACACGCGGCAUGGCUGGAUCAGGGUUUGCCCCCGAUUGUCCAAUAUUCCCCACUGCUGCCUCCCGUAGGAGUCUGGGCCGUGUCUCAGUCCCAGUGUGGCUGAUCAUCCUCUCAGACCAGCUACGGAUCGUCGCCUUGGUGAGCCGUUACCUCACCAACCAGCUAAUCCGACAUAGGCUCAUCCGAUAGCGCGAGGCCCGAAGGUCCCCCGGCUUUCCCCCGGUAGGGCGUAUGCGGUAUUAGCCUGGGUUUCCCCAGGUUAUCCCCCGACUACCGGGGCAGAUUCCUAUGCAUUACUCACCCGUCCGCCGCUCGCCACCAGGGAGCAAGCUCCCCGUGCUGCCGCUCGACUUGCAUGUGUUAGGCCUGCCGCCAGCGUUCAAUCUGAGCCAUAACAACAACUCGACACNGCGGCGGUCGUCGACGACGGCGACAGU